This 434-nucleotide ribosomal RNA is filed under the name uncultured Blautia sp. Its description in RNAcentral is "partial 16S ribosomal RNA". It matches the Rfam family "Bacterial small subunit ribosomal RNA", at positions 341 to 792 of the family's 1533-position model. The record is from RNAcentral. Lineage: Bacteria; Bacillati; Bacillota; Clostridia; Lachnospirales; Lachnospiraceae.
ACGGAAGGCAGCAGUGGGGAAUAUUGCACAAUGGGGGAAACCCUGAUGCAGCGACGCCGCGUGAAGGAAGAAGUAUCUCGGUAUGUAAACUUCUAUCAGCAGGGAAGAAAAUGACGGUACCUGACUAAGAAGCCCCGGCUAACUACGUGCCAGCAGCCGCGGUAAUACGUAGGGGGCAAGCGUUAUCCGGAUUUACUGGGUGUAAAGGGAGCGUAGACGGAAUUGCAAGUCUGAUGUGAAAGGCAUGGGCUCAACCUGUGGACUGCAUUGGAAACUGUGAUUCUUGAGUGCCGGAGGGGUAAGCGGAAUUCCUGGUGUAGCGGUGAAAUGCGUAGAUAUCAGGAGGAACACCGGUGGCGAAGGCGGCUUACUGGACAGCAACUGACGUUGAGGCUCGAAGGCGUGGGGAGCAAACAGGAUUAGAUACCCUGGUA